This 437-nucleotide ribosomal RNA is filed under the name uncultured bacterium. RNAcentral's name for it is "bacterial SSU rRNA". It matches the Rfam family "Bacterial small subunit ribosomal RNA", at positions 958 to 1397 of the family's 1533-position model. The record is from RNAcentral.
AACGCGAAGAACCUUACCAGGGUUUGACAUCCUGCGACCGCCUCCUAAUAGGGGUUUUCCCGCAAGGGACGCAGAGACAGGUGCUGCAUGGCUGUCGUCAGCUCGUGUCGUGAGAUGUUGGGUUAAGUCCCGCAACGAGCGCAACCCUCGCCUUUAGUUGCCAUCAUUCAGUUGGGCACUCUAGAGGGACCGCCGGCGACAAGCCGGAGGAAGGUGGGGAUGACGUCAAGUCCUCAUGGCCCUUACACCCUGGGCUACACACGUGCUACAAUGGCGGUGACAGUGGGCAGCUACUUCGCGAGAAGCGGCUAAUCCCAAAAAACCGCCCCAGUUCAGAUUGUACUCUGCAACUCGAGUACAUGAAGGUGGAAUCGCUAGUAAUCGCAGAACAGCAGGCUGCGGUGAAUACGUUCCCGGGCCUUGUACACACCGAUAGC